AAGACCCGUUGUCUCUCGUCUUUGUGCAACUUGACUGCCACGUCGCGUUGACUUCGUGGAUCAUUACAAUGACGUACCUCAUUGGAUCACUCCGAAGAAAGAAGUUCUUGGAAGUGCACACAACGAGAAUGUCUUCUUGGAAACUAAACGAAACAUGACUGAGCAGCUCUUAUAACGGGAUAGUCAUUGCCAUUUCCUGAGCAGGGAACACCCAGCCUAAAGGCAUUUUAGAGUUUUUUCCACUCACUUUUCAAGCCCCACAGAAUAAUGUGUACGAUGGAACGAUGAAAUCCAAAAACAGCAACAGAGGGGGAGAUACGUAUGGACCCCGGGAAGGUCAAUGCGGUGCUGCUGUGGCCUGCCCCCGCCAGCAGGAAGGACGUACAGAGGUUGUUAGGAUUUGCUAAUUUCUACAGAAAGUUCAAAAGGAACUUCAGCUCUGUGGCCGCUCCUCUGCACGCGCUCACCUCGCCACACAACGUCUUCGAGUGGUCCAGGACCUGCCAGGAGGCCUUCAACAGGC
This is a long non-coding RNA of Syngnathoides biaculeatus (alligator pipefish), 523 nucleotides long. RefSeq lists it as uncharacterized. The transcript has 4 exons. The record is from RefSeq and is a predicted model, not a curated record. Lineage: Eukaryota; Metazoa; Chordata; Actinopteri; Syngnathiformes; Syngnathidae.